Molecule: long non-coding RNA, 1047 nt
Filed under: Homo sapiens (human)
Lineage: Eukaryota; Metazoa; Chordata; Mammalia; Primates; Hominidae
Description: HSALNT0230958
Source: RNAcentral
AUCCAGCUAGCUCUGUGGUUUCUUUUUAAAAGCCAGAAAGGUUCACAAUAUUCUACUUAUUGACAGUCUUUUGUCUCCCGUUGGCCUUUCUUUCAGAUGAAUAACAUGAUCUCAAGUGCUGGGAGACAGUGAGUGUUUAAUCGCCUCACACCUGCCUUUCUGUAAAACUGCAACCUAUUCCUGUUCUGUAACCUCUAAAACUCUCCACCAGCAAUUUACUGAUGCAGCCAAUUAGACAAAGGAGGCAAGAUUUCGGAAGCCCUUUCAGAGGGAUCAGUCAUUCUUGGGCCUACAACACAAUGAGCCCGACUGCUGAGCUUCUCAGUGAAAACAUUGGCGGCUGUCUUCUAGGAUGGAGCUUAGGGGAAUUCCUUUCACAUUUUGAAAUUACUAGCUCCAGGAUACAUUGUCAUCCAGAAAUAUGUGGCCAGAUCAUCAUGCAAUCUUGCCUCUUUCCCCCAAUUCUCAUCUCUAUCUGGUUACUUCUAAAGGACAGGUUUCAUCCCAUUGGGAUUUCCACUGGCAAAACUCCCAUUGUUAAAACGGAUCCUUUGACAAUGUCUAGAGUUCAAAAGUAGCAUAGUAGUUAGUGUGAUGGAUGAAAAUUGCACCUAUUUAAAUUGAGAUAUAUUUAGAGAGAAUCGCAAAUGAUCAUUAGUAAACAUGCAGGAUUAACAACUACUCAAUAAUGAUGUUUCUUUACUUACAUUUUCAUUUUUAAUAAUAUCUUGAUCCUCCUGGUCUUCUUGCUAUGUUUUGGCCUGUUUAUUAAAACGUUACCUAUAAAAUGCUUAAGUCCCAAAGAAUUUCAGCAGGUAUUAUAUCAAGACCCUUAAUUAAUUUUUUUUUUCCAGAUCUGAACACUGAGGUUCCUAGGUGACAGAUAAUGCUCCUGGCCAACAUAGGAUCUCAUUUGAAGAUGACAGAGGAACUAUUCGUGGAUAGGCCAUUCCUUUCUGCUGUAAGAAUCAGUGAGCAAAGGAAAGAGAUUCAUGUGCCAUUUCAUUGGCUUAAGGUACUUUUCUGAUAUAACAGAAUUUUGGGGCC